CCUUCUAACCACCCGCGCUCUCACACUUUGCCUCCGCUCCGCCGUUUCCAUGGCUCCGGUUUCCUACUUUCCUCUUGUCUCCUCCGUCCUCAGCCUGUUCUGUAAUGUGGGAUUUACUAGAAGAGCAGGGCUGGUGUUCGAGGAGGAGAAGUUGAAAUCCUAGAGGGAGGAAGGCGGGGAAGCCAAUACUACUUGCUAUUUCCACUGCAAUGAACGUCUCUGUGUCAUCAAAAUAAGAACUUCAACCCCAAGGUUGAAACAGCCAAGCAGAAUUUGAUGGAAAUAUAUUUAGGAACAGCUAAAUUAGCAGUGCGACGCGUGUUUUCUUUUCAUUGAAGAAUUCAGCCAGUUAAAACGAGUCUAAAUGGAAGUCUGAAAGCUUUUUCUUCAUUGUUGAGGAAUAAAAUAUUUCGUGUAUUUUUCGUUUUCCAGAUUCAUUCAUUUAACAAAUAUCAGUUGAGCACUUUCCAUGCCGUAGGGCCUGUACAAGGCACAUAGCAUUCUAGACAUCUGAAGCAUCAAAACUAAUCAUUUUUAUUUUGAAGAAAAUCACUCAAAAUAUUUUAUGUACUUUGUGCCUUUCAUGAACAGAAUAUUCCAAGCAUUCUCUGCAAAAUACGCAUGAAAACAAUUGGGAGAGAAGAGGUCAAUUAUCUUUGAGAAGCCCAAUUACAGAAUGAAAUUCAAUUCAUUAUUAAAAAUACAUGGAUCUAAUAAAGAAUAAAUAAUUGGAAAAGAAAAGUUUAAGGAAGAGAGAAACGGGAAUGAGAAACAAUUACUGUGGGCUCCCAAUGGCCUGGAGUGAAUCACCAAAGUAACCUAAACAUGAAGUCAUGAAAAACUAAGUGGAUUCUGCCUUUUAGUACUUCCCAUCAUGGGGGAAGUCACCAGCGACCUCCUUACUGUAUUUUGGAUGAUUCAAGAAAUAGAAAGGUGUCCUACUGACUUCUGAAACAGGGUGUCUUCAUAUUGAUUAGGGUCACCGUAAGCCUGGGAGCUGAUGCUUACUCUCAGGUAAAGGAUGCUGUGUGAGGCUGCUUGAUGAAUGAGAAUACUAACAUUCUUCUGCAUUGAAAAAAUAUAACCUAUAAGAUGAACAUUGUAGGCCGGGCGCAGUGGCUCACGC
This 1126-nucleotide long non-coding RNA is filed under the name Homo sapiens (human). RNAcentral's name for it is "non-protein coding lnc-TMEM178B-3:1". The record is from RNAcentral. Lineage: Eukaryota; Metazoa; Chordata; Mammalia; Primates; Hominidae.